Xenopus laevis (African clawed frog) is the source of this 3002-nucleotide RNA transcript. It is a transcript of the gene named ADAM metallopeptidase domain 28, gene 1 like L homeolog, with no coding region annotated. NCBI's taxonomy places the organism in Eukaryota, Metazoa, Chordata, Amphibia, Anura, Pipidae. The record is from RefSeq and is marked provisional. The transcript has 18 exons.
GCACCUGUAGAUCAUUCGCGGAAAGCAGGAGAUACUACUUGCAUAGACGGGGGAGAAACACAACAGUCCCCUGGACAUAGACAUGCUGCUUCCACUGCUGCUCCUCACUGCCGGACUCCUGCUCCCCCACCAGCCUGCAGCCUCUCUCAAGUUAACAUUUGAACCAUAUUAUGAAGUUGUAUUCCCAAAGAAGAUUGAUACUCAGUACAAGAGGGAUGUUCAGGGCAAGUAUCCUGAUGUGCUGCAGUAUGGCCUUCACCUAGGAGGGAAGCACCUGGUCUUACACCUAGAGAAGAAUGAAGACCUGCUGUCUGCAAAUUACACUGAGACUUAUUACCUGCCGGAUGGGACACCAGUAACAACCAGCCCUAAAAUCCAGCAUCACUGCUAUUAUCAAGGAAAUGUGAAGAAUGAUAACGGGUCGCUGCUGAGCCUUAGUACAUGCAGUGGGUUAAGUGGGCUCAUCCAGACGGAAGGCCAAAUGUAUCUAAUUGAGCCUCUGAAGGAAACUGACAGCGAGGCACAUGCUGUUUAUGAAGCCCAGAUGGAGAUACCCAAAACUUGUGGAGUGGACAACACAACAUAUAGAAAGGAAAUUGUUGUCAAGAAAUCUCGUUCCGGCACCUCUGCUGAACAACAGAAAAUUCUGAAGGCUCAGAAGUACGUCCACUUGUAUGUUGUUGCAGAUAAUUCAAUGUUUGUUAAGUACAACCGCAGUAUCCCUAUAGUGAAGACAAGAAUCUAUGAAAUAAUAAAUUUUGUCAAUGUGGUGUAUAAGGCCAUAAACACCUUUGUUGCACUGACCGGGAUAGAGGUUUGGAAUGUGAGCGAUCAGUUUAAAGUUGUGACGUCAGCCGCUCAGAAUCUGGGUGCUUUCUCAGAUUGGAGGAAGAACGUCCUUCUGAGUAGGAAUCCAAAUGACAAUGCUCAGUUUCUGACAAAUACCGAUUUUGAUGGUGCUACAGUUGGACUGGCGUUUGUGGCCUCAAUGUGCACUGAUUCCCAAUCUGCUGGAGUAAAUCAGGAUCACAGCGAACCUUCCAUUGCCAUUGGUGCUACAGUUGCUCAUGAGAUGGGGCACAACUUGGGAAUGAACCAUGAUUCCAACUCUUGUUCUUGCGGUGCCAACUCCUGCAUUAUGGCACCAGACCUCAGUAAUAACAUGCCUCGCUUGUUCAGUAAAUGCAGUUUACAGAACUACCAGGAUUUUCUCUUUAGCCAAAUGUCACAGUGUAUUCUGAUUGUGCCGCCGAAAGAAGAUAUUAUAGCACCGGCAGUGUGCGGGAAUAAGUUCACUGAGAUUGGGGAAGAUUGCGAUUGUGGCACAGUGGAGGAAUGCACCAAUCCGUGCUGUGACGCCGCCACUUGCAAACUCAUGCCAACUGCAAAGUGUGCCGAGGGUGAAUGCUGUGAUAACUGUCAGAUUAAGAAACCUGGAGAUGUGUGCAGAGCCGCCAAGGAUGACUGUGACCUGGCAGAUUUUUGUGACGGGAUGUCCCCUGUGUGUCCCUCCGACCGCUUCAGUGUCAAUGGCUCCCCCUGCAAGAAUGGGCAGGGCUACUGCUUUAAUGGGAGGUGUCCAACGCACCAGAGCCAGUUCACAACACUGUGGAGUGUCAAGAACCCUAAUAUAUCUACUGAUAUUGUUAUUAUCAUUUUGGUGAUCAUCAUUGCUAUUGCCCUUGUCAUUGGACUUGUGUUUCUGGUAAUAUUCUGCAGGAGAAAGGGGAAGAAGCAGAGGACGAGCCUGCUACAGACAAGUCUUGACCAUCCAGCCGAGUUGGUUACCAGGCGCGUCAGUAUUCUGUGAAACCAACUGUCACCUUCUGCUAAACCAGCGCCUCCUUCUCGCCACCAAAGGCGCUGAAGCCCCCAGUGAGGAAUUAAGAUGGACAAUGCCACAAAAGAGAUUGUGGGUAUUAACCUACUGCUCAGCGGUUUAGACCAUGAAGAGUCAGCAUGCACCUCUCUAGCUGUGGCUAAGUCACUGAACAUCUCUGAACAGUGUUUUGGGAGUACUGGUACUGUGGUGUGAGCCUGUAGAGAAGGAUUGUGCUUUUAUUUGUUUUACUAUUUGGUGUUGGGUAAGAAUCUUUGUACCUGAGACGCUCAGACUUGACUGAUCUAUAGUUUAUAUACGUCAUUAUCAGGUGCCGCCAUUUCUGUUGCUGCUGUGGCCUCCUCCCAUGUGGCUGGGUGAGGAACCAAAUAUAUUUUAAAUGAUCUUUGUGUGAUAUUCUGAUAUUGUCUUUUUAAUUUUUAAUUCUAAUACUGUAUAUUUACUUUAUACUGCUGAAUGAAUACACUUAGGUUAAUGGAGUGUUUUGAUCGCAGAGAAAGGAAGCAGUCAAAACACCCCAUUCAUAUUGAAUAUUAGUAGUGGUGGCAUGUGGAAAGAGGUAUUUAGUUGGCCUUUAACCACCAAUGUUUCCACUGGAUGGCAGCAGCAGACCAUAGAUCUGCACUCAGAAUCCUUGAAAGCAGUGCACCUUGGGAGAAAAUUGUCAUUCUAUUGCUCAAGGGACCACAGUACAGCAUGAGUCACUACAUGUCCACCUAUCUCUUUCGUGCAGAAAGGAAUUCUCAGGACAUUAUGGGUAUCUGCCAUUUCUUAUUGUCUCUUUUUCUAUGGUUCUAGAAAGAGAACCAUUUCCUUCCACUUUCUGUACUGUAAAUACAUAUAUAAAUAGUUUAUGUCAAUAGAGGAUAGUGUAGGGAAGUGUGAGAAUGAGCGAGAGCUGGGUAUUGAGGGGCGUGCGUGAGCUAUCUAUUGUUGUGUGCCAUGUGGUUAGUCCUUUACAAUCCUGUUGUUUGUCAUCCCAUUAGUUCCAAUUUUAGUACCAGUUAGAUUCACUGUAAAUCCAGUGCCAACGACUGCAGAAAUCAGACUUUAGAUAUUUUUAUUACAUGUGCACCUUUAUGCCAAAGGCUCCUUUUACUGUUUUGUAAAACGUUUUAUAUUUUAUACACUGUAACUUUCAAUAAACUCUCGUUUUAUCAAG